Molecule: non-coding RNA, 1218 nt
Organism: Biomphalaria pfeifferi
Lineage: Eukaryota; Metazoa; Mollusca; Gastropoda; Planorbidae
Source: the annotation of a GenBank genome assembly
UUUUUUUUUUUUUUUUUUUUUUAUUAAUAUAAUAAUUGUUGAAACAUUGUUUUGUGUACAUUGCAGUAAAACCCAAAGGAAUUAUUGAUGAUGUAUUCAAUAGAACAGUGUACAUUGACAUUGAGACUUGUACAUUGAGAACCAAGUUGUAUAGUUAACUUGAUUUGUUGUUGAUAUACACACUGGAAUUAUGAUUAAUUUUUAACACAAUUGCUUUCCAUAAUUCCCAUCUGAAACUUGCUAUUGAAUGAGUCAAAGAUGUGGUAAUAAUUUAUAUAUAAAUAUAUUUUUUAUUCUAAGUUUUUUGUGUUUGUAUUACAAUGGCUGAAGACAUACAUUUUCUGUUCUAAUAAUAUAAGUAAGAUUGAAUGCAGUGUCAUGAAUUUAGAUACUGUACAAUUUUACAUGUAGCUGUCACCUUAGGAUAUCCUCAUGAUUUUACUUCUUUUUUCUAACCUUAACAUAUCAAUAUGGUCAUCUUUUUUUGGGUCUGAGCCUUUAGUUUGAUAUUUCACCUGCUCGCUAAGAAAUAUUUUUCUGCCAUUUGCUGAUUUAACUUUUAGAAUUUUUUUUUAAUUAAAAAAUAAACACUUUGGUACAGGGAUUAUUUAUCUGUGCGAUGCAGCAUUGAUGAUAACCAAUUUCUUGUGGAUGUGUGCCUUGAAUUACACAGAAUGAAACUUAAUAAUUUAAUCUCACCUCUGCAUUAUUGACUUUGUUUAAAAAGAGGGCACUUCUUCUAUUGUACAUAAUUUUAAAAUUAAUUCAUACUAAAAUAAUUUUUUAUUUUACACCAUUGCUAUAGACAUUAGGCUAAAUUAAUACAAUUGCUGUUACAUUAUGUACUUCAAUACUAUUUUUUUUUUUACAGAUUAAAAAAAUUAUUUCAGUCUGUUUAGUGCAAGUUAGUAUUUACCAGUGAUCAUUACUAAUUUCUCUUUUGUUUUUUAAUUUGCCCCCAGAGAACUUUUAUUAAAACAAUUGUCUGUUUUCUCAUUAAUGGCAUAAUUCUAACCUUUUGUUCAGUAGCCACUUAUAGUGAUUCUGGUUUAUUUUAUUUUCUCUGGUAUAUAAACACUACUGCAAGGCUGCUCUGUAUUCAUAUAUAUAUAUAUGUAUAGUGGUGAAAGCCUGACCUUUGGUUAUAUUGUUAACAAUCUGAAUGUAUGCAGAAAACCUUGCAGAUAUGAAACAAAAUAAAUUGCAUUAUUUAUGAAG